Molecule: ribosomal RNA, 503 nt
Filed under: Flavobacterium hercynium
Lineage: Bacteria; Pseudomonadati; Bacteroidota; Flavobacteriia; Flavobacteriales; Flavobacteriaceae
Description: bacterial SSU rRNA
Rfam family: Bacterial small subunit ribosomal RNA
Source: RNAcentral
UGCAGUCGAGGGGUAUUAGGUCUUCGGACUAAGAGACCGGCGCACGGGUGCGUAACGCGUAUGCAAUCUACCUUUCACAGAGGGAUAGCCCAGAGAAAUUUGGAUUAAUACCUCAUAGUAUUAUGAAAUGGCAUCAUUUUAUAAUUAAAGUCACAACGGUGAAAGAUGAGCAUGCGUCCCAUUAGCUAGUUGGUAAGGUAACGGCUUACCAAGGCUACGAUGGGUAGGGGUCCUGAGAGGGAGAUCCCCCACACUGGUACUGAGACACGGACCAGACUCCUACGGGAGGCAGCAGUGAGGAAUAUUGGACAAUGGGCGCAAGCCUGAUCCAGCCAUGCCGCGUGCAGGAUGACGGUCCUAUGGAUUGUAAACUGCUUUUAUACGAGAAGAAACACUCCAACGUGUUGGAGCUUGACGGUAUCGUAAGAAUAAGGAUCGGCUAACUCCGUGCCAGCAGCCGCGGUAAUACGGAGGAUCCAAGCGUUAUCCGGAAUCAUUGGGUU